AGUGAACGCUGGCGGUAGGCCUAACACAUGCAAGUCGAACGGCAGCACAGUAAGAGCUUGCUCUUACGGGUGGCGAGUGGCGGACGGGUGAGGAAUACAUCGGAAUCUACUUUUUCGUGGGGGAUAACGUGGGGCAACUUACGCUAAUACCGCAUACGACCUACGGGUGAAAGCAGGGGAUCUUCGGACCUUGCGCGAUCGAAUGAGCCGAUGUCGGAUUAGCUAGUUGGCGGGGUAAAGGCCCACCAAGGCGACGAUCCGUAGCUGGUCUGAGAGGAUGAUCAGCCACACUGGAACUGAGACACGGUCCAGACUCCUACGGGAGGCAGCAGUGGGGAAUAUUGGACAAAGGGCGAAAGCCUGAUCCAGCCAUACCGCGUGGGUGAAGAAGGCCUUCGGGUUGUAAAGCCCUUUUGUUGGGAAAGAAAAGCAGCAGGUUAAUACCCCGCUGUUCCGACGGUACCCAAAGAAUAAGCACCGGCUAACUUCGUG
Molecule: ribosomal RNA, 492 nt
Filed under: uncultured bacterium
Lineage: Bacteria
Description: partial 16S ribosomal RNA
Rfam family: Bacterial small subunit ribosomal RNA
Source: RNAcentral